This 253-nucleotide ribosomal RNA is filed under the name uncultured bacterium. Its description in RNAcentral is "partial 16S ribosomal RNA". It matches the Rfam family "Bacterial small subunit ribosomal RNA", at positions 524 to 776 of the family's 1533-position model. The record is from RNAcentral.
UACGUAGGGGGCUAGCGUUGUCCGGAAUUAUUGGGCGUAAAGCGCGCGCAGGCGGUCCUUUAAGUCUGAUGUGAAAGCCCACGGCUCAACCGUGGAGGGUCAUUGGAAACUGGGGGACUUGAGUACAGAAGAGAAGAGUGGAAUUCCACGUGUAGCGGUGAAAUGCGUAGAGAUGUGGAGGAACACCGGUGGCGAAGGCGGCAUCCUGGACCGAUAUUGACGCUGAUGCGCGAAAGCCAGGGGAGCAAACGGG